UGCUAUUGCACCACAUGUGUUUUUUAUUGACAAAUUUCUUUGGUGGCGGGAGCAAUCCUACCGCCAGAGGUUAUAACUAAACCAAACUUUUUAUUUACAGUCAAACUUGAUUUAUUAUUACAAUAGUCAAAACUUUCAACAACGGAUCUCUUGGUUCUCGCAUCGAUGAAGAACGCAGCGAAAUGCGAUACGUAAUAUGAAUUGCAGAUAUUCGUGAAUCAUCGAAUCUUUGAACGCACAUUGCGCCCUUUGGUAUUCCAAAGGGCAUGCCUGUUUGAGCGUCAUUUCUCCCUCAAACCCCCGGGUUUGGUGUUGAGCAAUACGCUAGGUUUGUUUGAAAGAAUUUAACGUGGAAACUUAUUUUAAGCGACUUAGGUUUAUCCAAAAACGCUUAUUUUGCUAGUGGCCACCACAAUUUAUUUUAUAACUUUGACCUCAAAUCAGGUAGGACUACCCGCUGAACUUAAGCAUAUCAAA
Molecule: ribosomal RNA, 477 nt
Filed under: Candida tropicalis
Lineage: Eukaryota; Fungi; Ascomycota; Pichiomycetes; Serinales; Debaryomycetaceae
Description: eukaryotic LSU rRNA
Rfam family: 5.8S ribosomal RNA (bases 131-284)
Source: RNAcentral